RNAcentral lists this ribosomal RNA (510 nucleotides) under uncultured bacterium. RNAcentral describes it as "bacterial SSU rRNA". It matches the Rfam family "Bacterial small subunit ribosomal RNA", at positions 28 to 434 of the family's 1533-position model. The record is from RNAcentral.
GACGAACGCUGGCGGCGUGCUUAACACAUGCAAGUCGAACGAUCUAGUCGUCGGUCAUCAGACGUCAGACGUCAGGGGAACGAAUGGAACUGAAGAAAGAACUCGCUUUAGCGAAAAUCUAUUCCGAAACCCUUACGACCGAUGUCCGAUGACUGACGACCGAAUAGUGGCGGACGGGUGAGUAACGCGUGGGCAACCUACCCAUAAGAGGGGGAUAACAGCUGGAAACGGCUGCUAAUACCGCAUAAGCUUUUUGAGACACAUGUUUUAGAAAGUAAAGGAGGCGCAAGCUUCCGCUUAUGGAUGGGCCCGCGUCUGAUUAGCUAGUUGGUAGGGUAGCGGCCUACCAAGGCAACGAUCAGUAGCCGGCCUGAGAGGGUGGACGGCCACACUGGGACUGAGAACGGCCCAGACUCCUACGGGAGGCAGCAGUGGGGAAUAUUGCGCAAUGGGGGAAACCCUGACGCAGCGACGCCGCGUGAGCGAAGAAGGCCUCGGUUGUAAGCGUCU